CGUAAUAGCUCACUGGUCGAGUAGACUCUGCGCCGAAAAUGUACCGGGGCUAAACGUGCCGCCGAAGCUGCGGGAUGACCGUUGGUCAUCGGUAGGGGAGCGUUCUAAGGGCGUUGAAGCCAGACCGGAAGGACUGGUGGAGCGCUUAGAAGUGAGAAUGCCGGUGUGAGUAGCGAAAACAGAGGUGAGAAUCCUCUGCACCGAAAGCCUAAGGGUUCCUGAGGAAGGUUCGUCCGCUCAGGGUUAGUCGGGACCUAAGCCGAGGCCGAAAGGCGUAGGUGAUGGGCAACAGGUUGAGAUUCCUGUACCACCUCCUCACCGUUUGAGCAAUGGGGGGACGCAGGAAGGUAGGGCGAGCAGGCUGCUGGAAUAGCCUGUCCAAGCGGUUAGGCUGCCAGAUAGGCAAAUCCGUCUGGCAUAAAGGCUGAGCCGUGAUGGCGAAGGGACCAUCGGUCCCGAAGUCCCCGAUCCUACACUGCCAAGAAAAGCCUCUAGCGAGGUGAGAGGUGCCCGUACCGCAAACCGACACAGGUAGGCGAGGAGAGAAUCCUAAGGUGCGCGGGAGAACUCUCGUUAAGGAACUCGGCAAAAUGACCCCGUAACUUCGGGAGAAGGGGUGCUCGUUUGGGUGAAGAGCCCGAACGAGCCGCAGUGAAAAGGCCCAAGCGACUGUUUAUCAAAAACACAGGUCUCUGCGAAGCCGAAAGGCGACGUAUAGGGGCUGACACCUGCCCGGUGCUGGAAGGUUAAGGGGAGCGCUUAAGCCGCAAGGCUGAAGGUGCGAACCGAAGCCCCAGUAAACGGCGGCCGUAACUAUAACGGUCCUAAGGUAGCGAAAUUCCUUGUCGGGUAAGUUCCGACCCGCACGAAAGGUGUAACGACUUGGGCACUGUCUCAACGAGAGACCCGGUGAAAUCAUACUACCUGUGAAGAUGCAGGUUACCCGCGACAGGACGGAAAGACCCCGUGGAGCUUUACUGCAGCCUGAUAUUGAAUUUUGGUAUCGCUUGUACAGGAUAGGUGGGAGCCUGGGAAGCCGGAGCGCCAGCUUCGGUGGAGGCGCCGGUGGGAUACCACCCUGGCGAUAUUGAAAUUCUAACCCGCACCCCUUAGCGGGGUGGGAGACAGUGUCAGGCGGGCAGUUUGACUGGGGCGGUCGCCUCCCAAAAGGUAACGGAGGCGCCCAAAGGUUCCUUCAGAAUGGUUGGAAAUCAUUCGGAGAGUGCAAAGGCACAAGGGAGCUUGACUGCGAGACGGACAGGUCGAGCAGGGACGAAAGUCGGGCUUAGUGAUCCGGUGGUUCCGCA
RNAcentral lists this ribosomal RNA (1307 nucleotides) under Geobacillus stearothermophilus. RNAcentral's name for it is "large subunit ribosomal RNA". It matches the Rfam family "Bacterial large subunit ribosomal RNA", at positions 1133 to 2433 of the family's 2925-position model. The record is from RNAcentral. Lineage: Bacteria; Bacillati; Bacillota; Bacilli; Caryophanales; Anoxybacillaceae.